RNAcentral lists this long non-coding RNA (896 nucleotides) under Androctonus crassicauda. Lineage: Eukaryota; Metazoa; Arthropoda; Arachnida; Scorpiones; Buthidae. The record is from RNAcentral.
CCACACCUUUUCUAUAGCUUCAAUCAUAUUUACAAAAUAAAAAACUAAAAAUUUUUUACUGCAAGAAUGAGUCUAAUAUUGACUAGGUGUAUGAUUUUAGAAAGAUUUGCUUUAUGCUUUGAAGUAAAUAGUCUCUCUAUUCAUAUAACAUUACUUGAGUUAAAAGUUUCAAAUAAAAUCAUUUGCUCAAACUAUCAGGGAUGUUUUAAGGCAUGGGCCAACUGGGCCUGGGCCCAGGGCCUCGACUUCAGAGGGGCCUUGUCUUGGAUCAAUAAGAUCAUGAUGUGAAUAAUUUUAAUUGGCAAAUGUUAUUCUCGGACAUUUUCUCCAAAAAAACUAGGAAUUUCCAACUAUAUGCUAAUUGGCAACAGUAGCAAGACUGCAUUAUGAUGUCAUGUCCAUCGUCCGUGUCUAGGCCUAGUCCUACAGCCAUACAACAUCAUUACUCAUUUAGUCGAAAAGCAGUAAAAAAUACGAGGAGGUAUUUGAACUGUUUGAGUUUUUGAAAAUAUUUGUAAUUUGUAUGAGAGCAAAAUUAAAAUAGCAUGUGAGAAAAUAUUGAAAUUUUAUGAUAUUCAUGGGGAGGAACUGAAUUUGGAAUGUCAACAUUUCAAGUCAUAUCUAAUCAUUGAUGGCGAAAAACUGAAGAAAAAAUAAAGAGAAGACAUGGAAAAAAGAAAGAUUCAUAAGAAAUAUAAUUUUAUAAAUACGGAUGACGAUGAAGAAUAGUUGUUGGAUGAGAAGAUUGGGAUUGGUAUCAACACACUCUAUACAUACAUGUAUAAUGAAAGACUAUUCACAGUGUUCCCAAAUAUUGAAUUAGUAAUGAGAAUUUUCUUGUCGAUGAUGAUUACUAACACAAGUGGUGAGCGUUCAUUUUCAAAACUCAAACUGGU